ACUCAAAGGAAUAGACGGGGACCCGCACAAGCGGUGGAUUAUGUGGAUUAAUUCGAUGCAACGCGAAAAACCUUACCUACCCUUGACAUGUCCCGGAGGCGAGAGAGAUCUCGCUGUGCCCGAAAGGGAACGGGAACACAGGUGCUGCAUGGCUGUCGUCAGCUCGUGUCGUGAGAUGUUGGGUUAAGUCCCGCAACGAGCGCAACCCUUGUCAUUAGUUGCUACAUUUGGUUGGGCACUCUAAUGAGACUGCCGGUGACAAACCGGAGGAAGGUGGGGAUGACGUCAAGUCCUCAUGGCCCUUAUGGGUAGGGCUUCACACGUAAUACAAUGGCGCGUACAGAGGGUAGCCAAGGAGCGAUCCGGAGCCAAUCCCUAGAAAGCGCGUCGUAGUCCGGAUUGCAGUCUGCAACUCGACUGCAUGAAGUCGGAAUCGCUAGUAAUCGCGGAUCAGCAUGUCGCGGUGAAUACGUUCCCGGGUCUUGUACACACCGCCCGU
RNAcentral lists this ribosomal RNA (499 nucleotides) under uncultured bacterium. Its description in RNAcentral is "partial 16S ribosomal RNA". It matches the Rfam family "Bacterial small subunit ribosomal RNA", at positions 899 to 1397 of the family's 1533-position model. The record is from RNAcentral.